CCUACGGGUGGCAGCAGUGGGGGAUAUUGGACAAUGGGGGGAACCCUGAUCCAGCGACGCCGCGUGAGUGAAGAAGUAUCUCGGUAUGUAAAGCUCUAUCAGCAGGGAAGAAGAAAGGACGGGACAUGAGGAAGAAGCCCCGGCUAACUACGGGCCAGCAGCCGCGGUAAUACGUAGGGGGCAAGCGUUAUCCGGAAUUACGGGGUGGAAAGGGAGCGUAGACGGUGCUGUAAGUCUGGAGGGAAAGGCGGGGGCCCAACCCCCGGACUGCUCUGGAAACUUGGUGACUGGAGUGCAGGAGAGGUGAGCGGACUUCCUAGUGUAGCGGUGCACUGCGUAGAUCUUAGGCGGAACCCCAGUGGCGACGGCGGCUCACUGGACUGUACCUGACGUUGCGGCUCGAACGCGUGGGGAGCACACAGGAUUAGAUACCCCUGUAGUC
RNAcentral lists this ribosomal RNA (442 nucleotides) under uncultured bacterium. RNAcentral describes it as "partial 16S ribosomal RNA". It matches the Rfam family "Bacterial small subunit ribosomal RNA", at positions 338 to 795 of the family's 1533-position model. The record is from RNAcentral.